This 254-nucleotide ribosomal RNA is filed under the name uncultured bacterium. RNAcentral describes it as "partial 16S ribosomal RNA". It matches the Rfam family "Bacterial small subunit ribosomal RNA", at positions 524 to 776 of the family's 1533-position model. The record is from RNAcentral.
UACGUAGGGUGCGAGCGUUAAUCGGAUUUAUUGGGCGUAAAGAGCUCGUAGGCGGCUCGGUAAGUGAGGUGUGAAAACUCCAGGCUCAACCUGGAGACGCCACCUCACACUGCCGUGGCUAGAGUCCGGUAGGGGAGCAUGGAAUUCCUGGUGUAGCGGUGAAAUGCGCAGAUAUCAGGAGGAACACCAGUGGCGAAGGCGGUGCUCUGGGCCGGAACUGACGCUGAGGAGCGAAAGCGUGGGGAGCAAACAGG